CCUCGGGCAUAGAUGAAGAGCACAGAAAAAUGAGAUAAGUAGUGUGAAUUGCAGAACUCAGAAUCUCAUAGAAUUUUUGAACGCACAUUGCCCCCUGGGGUAUUGAGGGGGACAUGUUUGUGAGAGUCUCAUUUGCACCCACAAUAUAUUUGGGGUGGGGGGUGGUCGUCCUUUGGUUAGCAGAUGAACUCGUCGUAAAUUCAUUGGCAGCUACAGUAGUAGGGAAAGCGCAGAACAAUUUGUGUCUUUGGAGAGUAUUUCACGCAUCCAGUACGCAUAAAUAACCAGGUGACCUCGAUCAGUAGGAGCCCG
RNAcentral lists this ribosomal RNA (312 nucleotides) under Nodulosphaeria senecionis. RNAcentral describes it as "eukaryotic LSU rRNA". The stretch from base 2 to 129 matches the Rfam family "5.8S ribosomal RNA", at positions 25 to 154 of the family's 154-position model. Lineage: Eukaryota; Fungi; Ascomycota; Dothideomycetes; Pleosporales; Phaeosphaeriaceae. The record is from RNAcentral.